GGUUGACCUCGGAUCAGGUAGGGAUACCCGCUGAACUUAAGCAUAUCAAUAAGCGGAGGAAAAGAAACCAACCGGGAUUGCCUCAGUAACGGCGAGUGAAGCGGCAAGAGCUCAAAUUUGAAAUCUGGCCCCCUCGGGGUCCGAGUUGUAAUUUGCAGAGGAUGCUUCGGGUGCGGCCCCCGUCUAAGUGCCCUGGAACGGGCCGUCAUAGAGGGUGAGAAUCCCGUCUGGGACGGGGUGUCCGCGUCCGUGUGAAGCUCCUUCGACGAGUCGAGUUGUUUGGGAAUGCAGCUCUAAAUGGGUGGUAAAUUUCAUCUAAAGCUAAAUACUGGCCGGAGACCGAUAGCGCACAAGUAGAGUGAUCGAAAGAUGAAAAGCACUUUGAAAAGAGAGUUAAAAAGCACGUGAAAUUGUUGAAAGGGAAGCGCUUGCGACCAGACUCGCCCGCGGGGUUCAGCCGGCAUUCGUGCCGGUGUACUUCCCCGUGGGCGGGCCAGCGUCGGUUUGGGCGGCCGGUCAAAGGCCCCCGGAAUGUAGUGCCCCUACGGGGGCACCUUAUAGCCGGGGGUGCAAUGCGGCCAGCCUGGACCGAGGAACGCGCUUCGGCACGGACGCUGGCAUAAUGGUUGCAAACGACC
RNAcentral lists this ribosomal RNA (638 nucleotides) under Aspergillus neobridgeri. RNAcentral's name for it is "eukaryotic LSU rRNA". It matches the Rfam family "Eukaryotic large subunit ribosomal RNA", at positions 1 to 649 of the family's 3401-position model. RNAcentral also lists the same sequence under 1 other name. Lineage: Eukaryota; Fungi; Ascomycota; Eurotiomycetes; Eurotiales; Aspergillaceae. The record is from RNAcentral.